UAAUAUAUCGGAACGUGCCCUGGAGUGGGGGAUAACGCAGCGAAAGUUGCGCUAAUACCGCAUACGAUCUAAGGAUGAAAGCAGGGGACCUUCGGGCCUUGUGCUCCUGGAGCGGCCGAUAUCUGAUUAGCUAGUUGGUGGGGUAAAGGCCUACCAAGGCAUCGAUCAGUAGCUGGUCUGAGAGGACGACCAGCCACACUGGAACUGAGACACGGUCCAG
This 220-nucleotide ribosomal RNA is filed under the name uncultured bacterium. RNAcentral's name for it is "partial 16S ribosomal RNA". It matches the Rfam family "Bacterial small subunit ribosomal RNA", at positions 111 to 334 of the family's 1533-position model. The record is from RNAcentral.